RNAcentral lists this long non-coding RNA (1106 nucleotides) under Limulus polyphemus (Atlantic horseshoe crab). RNAcentral describes it as "uncharacterized LOC111086911, transcript variant X2". The record is from RNAcentral. Lineage: Eukaryota; Metazoa; Arthropoda; Merostomata; Xiphosura; Limulidae.
GGUUUGGAGUUAAACAGUGGUACAUCGCGAGUAUAAAACCUAAUAGGUUUGGAAUCAAAUACUGAGAUAUAAUAUUUAAAUACUUAUGCGUGUGAUAGACUUAGGAAGGUCUUAAUUUUCAGUAACUUUUAUGGUCCCUUAUAAAUCUAACUGAAGUAUAUUUAUAGCAACAGAACGAAUAUUGCGACGGAAAAGUAAUCGCAUAUUACUAAGAAUAAAGUAAAAUGUUAACAUUUAUUUUCCCAAACGCCUGGUGAUAUGAAUUCCCCUACCCUGGUAAAUGAGGCUGGUAAAAGUUCAUCAACAUUAGAUUUCAAAUAUGAUGAUUGUAAAGUUUUAUGAAAAAAUUCCAUUUGGUGUGGAAUUGUAUUCAACUUAUCGCUAAGCACGAUAGUGCUCAGUAUUUCGGGAUAGGCCGAGAAAAAAUAAUGGCUGCCGCAUACACUCUAUUACUUUUUUCAUCUAUGAUGCUUACAAAUAACUGCUAAAGUUGAGUUACAGCCAUAUUUGAGGUCACUUUGCAAUAGCUGCCAAACAUCACAUAACAAUUGCUGAAAUGUAAGAAAUUGAAAUUAUUGAUGAAGAAAAGUCUUGAAGAAAUACUUUGCAGUGGAAGACAUGAUUUAGUAUAUUCCACAAGUGGCAGCAUCAUUCUUAGAAAACCCAUUGUCAAAAUUCAGGGCAAAAGAAUAUUAAAUAUUCUCCAGGACAGCCUUAUGUCACAUGUCUAUUAAUAUGCCUAAUACACAGAAAAUCAUUUGAAAUGCUGGCUGCUUCCAGUUCAAUUGAAAUGCAAAAAAUCACCCAGACAGUUUCUGCUACAUUUGUGGAAAAUAUAUUACAGUUUCAUGAAGGAAAAACAUCACACACAAGCUAAAGGUGCCUUAUUACCACUAUUUUGGAUAUAAAAUUUAUGACCAAAAAAAAAACACUGGGCUCCACAUGUGUGUGUUGUACAACUUUCACAUCUGAGUUGACACAGUGGCUGAAUAUGAAGAGAUCAAAUAUGCCAUUUGCAAUUCCCAUGAUAUGACAUGAGCCUAAAGAUCAUCUAACUGACUGUUAUUUUUGCAUGACAAAUGUUUCUGGAUAUUCAGGCAAAAAUA